This 60-nucleotide transfer RNA is filed under the name Cordylochernes scorpioides. RNAcentral's name for it is "tRNA-Thr". Lineage: Eukaryota; Metazoa; Arthropoda; Arachnida; Pseudoscorpiones; Chernetidae. The record is from RNAcentral.
GAGCCUAGUGGACAUGGCAUCUUCCCGGUAAGCGGAACACUAUGGGUUCGAUUCCCAUCA